RNAcentral lists this ribosomal RNA (301 nucleotides) under uncultured bacterium. RNAcentral's name for it is "partial 16S ribosomal RNA". It matches the Rfam family "Bacterial small subunit ribosomal RNA", at positions 509 to 807 of the family's 1533-position model. The record is from RNAcentral.
CAGUAGCCGCGGUAAUACGUAGGUGGCAAGCGUCGUCCGGAAUUAUUGGGCGUAAAGCGUGCGUAGGCGGUGAGUUAAGUCUGCUGUGAAAUCCCCGGGCUCAACCUGGGAAUGGCAGUGGAUACUGGCUCGCUAGAGUGUGUCAGAGGAUGGUGGAAUUCCCGGUGUAGCAGUGAAAUGCGUAGAGAUCGGGAGGAACAUCAGUGGCGAAGGCGGCCAUCUGGGACAACACUGACGCUGAGGCAUGAAAGCGUGGGGAGCAAACAGGAUUAGAUACCCCAGUAGUCCCUGUCUCUUAUAC